This 470-nucleotide ribosomal RNA is filed under the name Amathia vidovici. RNAcentral describes it as "partial 16S ribosomal RNA". It matches the Rfam family "Bacterial large subunit ribosomal RNA", at positions 1859 to 2607 of the family's 2925-position model. The record is from RNAcentral. Lineage: Eukaryota; Metazoa; Bryozoa; Gymnolaemata; Ctenostomatida; Vesiculariidae.
CUGCCCGGUGAAAGCAAUUUUAAACGGCCACAAUCGUGCUAAGGUAGCGUAAUCAGUUGUCCUUUUACUGAGGACUAGUAUGAAAGGAAAAACGAGGCUCAACUGUCUCUAUUAAAAAAAUAAAAAUUAGUUUUUAGAUGAAAAAAUCUAAAUGAAAUUAAAGGACGAAAAGACCCUAUAGAGUUUAAAUAUAAUUAUACUAUUCACAAAUUAAACAAAACGAAUAGGAUAAGUAUUUUAAUUGGGGCAACAUAGGAACAAGAAAUUUCCUUAUAGUAAACAUUUAACAUCAUAAAAAUAAAAAUCCUCAAAGAGAUAAAGAAAAACUACCUUAGGGAUAACAGCGUAAUUUUUCUAAAGAGACCUAAUCGAAAGAAAAGUUUGCGACCUCGAUGUUGGACUAAGGCAUCAAAAUGGUGAAGAAACUAUUAAAAGUAGGCCUGUUCGGCCUAAUAGCCUUACAUGAUUUG